UGCUGAGGAGUCCCAAACAGGACGAAACAGCUGUUCA
This 37-nucleotide non-coding RNA is filed under the name Echinostoma caproni. The record is from RNAcentral. Lineage: Eukaryota; Metazoa; Platyhelminthes; Trematoda; Plagiorchiida; Echinostomatidae.